This 2860-nucleotide long non-coding RNA is filed under the name Sus scrofa (pig). RNAcentral's name for it is "lncRNA (ENSSSCG00000055376.1, ENSSSCG00150012090.1, ENSSSCG00165031115.1)". The record is from RNAcentral. Lineage: Eukaryota; Metazoa; Chordata; Mammalia; Artiodactyla; Suidae.
AUUUCCCCAAUACAUUUUUUUUCUACUGUAUAACAUAGUGACCCAGUUACACAUACAUGUAUACAUUCUUUUUUCUCCCAUUAUCAUGCUCCGUCAUAAGUGAUUAGACAUAGUUCUCAGUGCUACACAGCAGGAUCUCAUUGCUAAUCCAUUCCAAAAGCAAUAGUUUGCAUCCAUUAAUCCCAAGUUCCCAGUUCCUCCCACUCCCUCCCCUCCUUUGGCAACCACAAAUCUAUUCUACAAGUCCAUGAUUUUCUUUUCUGUGGAAAGGUUCAUUUAUGCCAUAUAUUAGAUUCUAAGUAUGUGAUAUCAUAUGGUAUCUGUCUUUCUCUUUCUGACUUACUUCACUCAGGAUGAAAGUCUCUAGUUCCAUCCAUGUUGCUGCAAAUGGCAUUAUUUUGUUCUUUUUUAUGGCUGAGUACUAUUCCAUUGUGUAUAUAUACCACAUCUUCCUAAUCCAGUUGUCUGUUGAUGGACAUUUGGGUUGAUCCCAUGUCUUGGAUAUUGUGAAUAGUGCUGCAAUGAACAAGAGGGUGAUGUGUCUUUUUUAAGGAAAGUUUUAUCCAGCUAUAUGCCCAAAAGUGGGAUUUCUGGGUCAUAUGAUAGUUCUAUGUAUAGAUUUCUAAGGUACCUCCAUAUUGUUCUCCAUAGUGGUUGAACCAGCACAUUCCCACCAACAGUGCAGGAGGGUUCCCUUUUCUCCAAACCCCUCCGCAUUUGUUAUUUGUGGACUUAUUAAUUAUGGGCAAUCUGACUGGUGUGAAGUGGUAUCUUAUGGUAGUUUUAAUUUGCAUUUCUCUAAUAAUCAGGGAUGUUGAGCAUUUUUGCAUGUGCUUGUUGGCCAUCUGUAUAUCUUCCUUGUUGGUCUUCCUGUCUCAUGUUGGCAUAAAACUGUGCAAUAGUGAGGAUGACUAAAGAGUUUAUUUCAGAAGGAAUCUCUCCAAGAAAUGGCUUGAACAGUUUCAUUUUCCCCACCAUCUGGCAGAAUUGGUUGAAAUGAGAGCCAUUUUCAGCCUUCUCCCUUGCAAACCACAGAAAGCACAGAUUUCAUCAUAGAUCACUGAGUAUAGGAGUAAUUUUAACUUCCUUUACAUUAGCUCAACUUUGAGCCUUGAGGAAAAACCUGUCUAAAAUAUCUCAUUUCUAUGGUUUUCCUCUCUAGUCAUUUGGCUUCUGCUGUUGUGGUACUGGUAGUGGGUGAAAGUUUCCCCUCCUAAUAUUAUCUGACUUCAAUGCAAACAAGAUAUAAUAUGGUUUGAAAUUCAUCAAUUAGUGUUAUGAGUUCCCUUGACAUGUUGAUGCUCUCACUAAACAAACUUUACAACAAUCUGCAGUAUAAGAAUUUUCACCAACAGAACUGCUAUAUCUUCAUUAAAGAAUAUGUGAGGAUCUUCACACUUUGACUUUGCUAUACAAAUUCACUAGGUGAUUGUUAACAGUUGUCAAUACUAGACUGUGUCACCUUGCAAUGUCACAAAUUAGAUUCCAGUUUUUACUCACAGCACAACUUGUAAAAGGAGUUUAGUACUCAAUGUAUUCAUUUUAGACUUAUUUAAACACUCAAGUAGUAUUUAUUGAUUAGUCUACACUUAGCAUCAGAUUCAUUUAAAAAACAUGUGGCAAGAAAUGAAACACAGCAGAACAGCAGCAGGGAUUUCUUCUCAGUGGAAGUAGUCAGAGCAGACCAUACAGCAGUCCUGGCACUGUAGUAUAACACCUGCUAUAGUUCAACAGUGACUGAAUAAGACUCAGUUGAGUGGGAUGGGAAGCCACAUUAGCCCAGGAACCCACUUUCCAAAUAAAAACCAACAUUUAUUUUAGCAGUGCUCUAGGAAUACCUGUAAUUAUUGUACAGGGUAUUCUCUAUUAUGAGAGCUUUCAUGAAAUUCUAAGGUAUAGCUUAUUACCAGGAAUUUAGUAUUUCUUCAUAAUGUUUCUAUUCCAGAUGAAGUUUACCGAUCAAGGUCAUUUUAAAAUAAACUAUGUUGCCUGGAAACAAAAUAUGGUGUUUCACUUCUAUCAGAUUUUCACUUCUAAGCAGAGUUAGGCAGUUAUCAUAAGGUUAGAUGGGUCAAUAAAAAAGAAGAAAAGAAUUCUUAGCACUUCUCCCAAAAUAGGAGGACUAAUGUGUAUUGAGUUAUGAAUAACUCCUAUAAACCUCACAAAAGCUUUUGAGGGUAGUUCUUAACAUUUCUAUUUUACUGAUCGAGACCCCAACACAGGGAAAAUUAAACAAUUUCUCUCAAAGUAUCCAUAAAUGAGAAAUUAACUUGAUAUUUUUGGCCCCAAACCUAUGGUCUUUCCACAAUAUUACAUCUGAGUAACUUUGUAACUGGGUUCAACAGAUUUUUAGCAUAUGACCUGCCAAGAAUUUCAUCUCUAGGGUCUUAAAUAUAGUGCAGAGGUAGGUUCACAAAUAUUUAUGAUGUUUAGCUAUCUCUUUACCAGCUUGUGAAAAAAUGUCACAAUUAUUUAAAUACUAUUGAUGAUACCAAACCAUCAACUUGACACUGUGAGAAUCCUCUCUAUGUGAUUUAGUAAACUUCCCCAGGUUUUAUCACAGUUCUGUUACAUAUUCUCACCCAGUGAAAAAAGCAUUUGGGUCUGUCAUCUUGUAAUUAGUUACUUCAGAAAGAUCAAUAGUCACAAGGAGUUCCCAUGAUGGCUCAGCAGAAACUAAUCUGACUAGUGUCCAUUAGGGUGCAGGUUUGAUCCCUGACCUCACUCAGUGGGCUAAGGAUCUGGCAUUCCCAUGAGCUGUGGUGUAGGGUGCAGACAUGGCUCGGCUCCCACAUUAUUGUGGCUGUGGCCAGUGGCUACAGCUCUGAUUUGACCACUUUCCUGGGAACCUCCAUAUGCC